This 416-nucleotide ribosomal RNA is filed under the name uncultured bacterium. RNAcentral's name for it is "bacterial SSU rRNA". It matches the Rfam family "Bacterial small subunit ribosomal RNA", at positions 29 to 447 of the family's 1533-position model. The record is from RNAcentral.
AUUGAACGCUGGCGGAAUGCUUUACACAUGCAAGUCGAGCGGCAGCGCGGGGCAACCUGGCGGCGAGCGGCGAACGGGUGAGUAAUACAUCGGAACGUACCCAGUUGUGGGGGAUAGCCCGGCGAAAAGCCGGAUUAAUACCGCAUACGACCUGAGGGUGAAAGGGGGGGAUCGCAAGACCUCUCGCAGUUGGAGCGGCCGAUGGCGGAUUAGCUAGUUGGUAGGGUAAAGGCCUACCAAGGCGACGAUCCGUAGCUGGUCUGAGAGGACGACCAGCCACACUGGAACUGAGACACGGUCCAGACUCCUACGGGAGGCAGCAGUGGGGAAUUUUGGACAAUGGGGGCAACCCUGAUCCAGCCAUUCCGCGUGAGUGAAGAAGGCCUUCGGGUUGUAAAGCUCUUUCGGCAGGAACG